RNAcentral lists this ribosomal RNA (322 nucleotides) under Photobacterium phosphoreum. Its description in RNAcentral is "partial 16S ribosomal RNA". It matches the Rfam family "Bacterial small subunit ribosomal RNA", at positions 1 to 313 of the family's 1533-position model. The record is from RNAcentral. Lineage: Bacteria; Pseudomonadati; Pseudomonadota; Gammaproteobacteria; Vibrionales; Vibrionaceae. RNAcentral also lists the same sequence under 1 other name.
ACUUUAAUUGAAGAGUUUGAUCAUGGCUCAGAUUGAACGCUGGCGGCAGGCCUAACACAUGCAAGUCGAGCGGUAACAGAAAGAAAGCUUGCUUUCUUUGCUGACGAGCGGCGGACGGGUGAGUAAUGCCUGGGAAUAUACCCUGAUGUGGGGGAUAACUAUUGGAAACGAUAGCUAAUACCGCAUAAUCUCUUCGGAGCAAAGAGGGGGACCUUCGGGCCUCUCGCGUCAGGAUUAGCCCAGGUGGGAUUAGCUAGUUGGUGGGGUAAUGGCUCACCAAGGCGACGAUCCCUAGCUGGUCUGAGAGGAUGAUCAGCCACAC